This 103-nucleotide small RNA is filed under the name Salmonella enterica subsp. enterica serovar Heidelberg. RNAcentral's name for it is "partial RtT sRNA". It matches the Rfam family "RtT RNA", at positions 30 to 130 of the family's 130-position model. From Rfam's summary of the family: This family represents a bacterial cis-regulatory element known as RtT RNA. The exact function of RtT is unknown although it is thought that it may be involved in changing the cellular response in relation to amino acid starvation. The record is from RNAcentral. RNAcentral also lists the same sequence under 3 other names. Lineage: Bacteria; Pseudomonadati; Pseudomonadota; Gammaproteobacteria; Enterobacterales; Enterobacteriaceae.
CUUCGACUAAGGUUCGAUUCGAGCGUCAGCGAGAAAGCGUUGCCGCAGGCAACGACCCGAAGGGCGAAGCGCGCAGCGCUGAGUCAUCCUUCCCCCACCACCA